This 427-nucleotide ribosomal RNA is filed under the name uncultured bacterium. RNAcentral's name for it is "bacterial SSU rRNA". It matches the Rfam family "Bacterial small subunit ribosomal RNA", at positions 355 to 774 of the family's 1533-position model. The record is from RNAcentral.
UGGGGAAUAUUGGACAAUGGGCGCAAGCCUGAUCCAGCCAUGCCGCGUGUGUGAAGAAGGCCUUCGGGUUGUAAAGCACUUUUGUCCGGAAAGAAAGCGAAUCGGCGAAUACCCGGUUUGGAUGACGGUACCGGAAGAAUAAGCACCGGCUAACUCCGUGCCAGCAGCCGCGGUAAUACGGAGGGUGCGAGCGUUAUCCGGAUUUACUGGGUUUAAAGGGUGCGUAGGUGGGCUUAUAAGUCAGUGGUGAAAUCUCCGAGCUUAACUUGGAAACUGCCGUUGAUACUAUAGGCCUUGAAUUAUCUGGAGGUAAGCGGAAUAUGUCAUGUAGCGGUGAAAUGCUUAGAUAUGACAUAGAACACCAAUUGCGAAGGCAGCUUACUACAUAUAAAUUGACGCUGAGGCACGAAAGCGUGGGGAUCAAACA